Molecule: non-coding RNA, 3030 nt
Organism: Taeniopygia guttata (zebra finch)
Lineage: Eukaryota; Metazoa; Chordata; Aves; Passeriformes; Estrildidae
Source: RefSeq, a predicted model, not a curated record
CGGCCGCAGUGUGUGCCCCGGGGGUGUGGGCCGGCCCGGCCGCUCCCCACACGCACACGGCCCCGGGGCAGCCCGGGGCCCAGGCACGGCCCGCCUCACCCGGGAGGGAGCCGAGAAUUGUUUGUAAAGACAUAAGCACACAUCUUUCUGAUUUCCUAUCACCAGCACACAGAGCCAUCGGCCCCUAAGGCUGGGAACAAUCCUCAUCUGAAAGGAGAGCUCUGCAACCUCCAGGAGAAACUGACAGCCUGCACAGAAAACAGAGGUGGUCUCCUACACUGAUGAAAACCACUAAAGCUUGACCAGCAAAGGCACAGGUAAUUGGAACAUUGAUUUUAAGAUAUCUCACCUGAAGACAUCCCACAGUUAAAACACAAAUACACAGCAUUUUCAAAAGGCUCCUGAAGGAUGCAGAGCCCAGCUCAUGCAUCUGAGUGGGAAAAAAAAAAAUAGAAAAAAGAUAAAUCACCACUAGCAGCAGUGCCAGAAAGUGCAAGAGAACCUGGGAGGCUCCAAGGCCUCCCCCCGACUCUGGCAGGCAGGAAAAAUGCAGAAGAUAGUGUCUGCCCAAAACCCCCAAUUCUUCUCUGUGUGUAAGAAAGCUGCAUUAUAUAUUUCCCAUGUUUAGGGUUGCACAAGCCUGAAUAGCUGUUAAAAUGUUUGGAAAGAAUGUGCCGGUGGUAGAAUUCAGCAGUAUCUGCUAGUGGUGAAUUUAGCUCCUGCUGAAAGGAACACGGGGAAAGAGGAAAUAAAAACCUGAAGCAAGAAAAGAAUCUCAAAAGGGUCACUGGAAAUGCUGGAACCAGACAAGCUGAGAGGCAUUGAGCCAAAAUAGGACCAGAAUUUCUGUUACUACACUGUUAUGCUGGUGUACUAUAUUGCUAUGUAGAAACUUUUUUUUUUUUGUGUUAAACUUAUUUUAUUUCUAUGCACUUUUCUUUAAGUGAGAAUGCCCAAUUUCCUGCAAAUUAAUUCCUCUUCUUCAGCCUGGUUCUCUCUCCCUGCCCUUUAAUUGAUUGUCCAUUCUGCCUUGGGUUCCAUGUAGAUAUUUUCACUUAAGCAAAGCUACCAUAAUUGAGGACUAAAAGUGGAACAUUCCUUUCCUGGUGGCAAUAAAGUUUUAAUUAUAAAUACCUCCUGGUUCACUUCUCAGGUUUCCCUGGCUGUCCUGCUGAAUGCUCUAACACAGCACAGCUGCUUUGCACAGGUACCAGGUGAGGCAGAAGCCUUUGAAGUGAAAAAAGACUCAAUAAAGAAGUGCAAAUCAAGGGCGUACUCAGGACUCCUGUAUCUUUGCUAUUUUCCUAGAGGCACACUAGCCUUUGAAAAUCAAACAAUUCAUCAUUUUACUUCUCCAGGCAGAGUUUUAAUAGUGUUAAUACAUUGGUGCUUCUGGUCGUGCCCCAAGCAAGUGGAUGAGGAAGCUGAGCUGUGACAAAGCCUGGCUGGUUAUCAGCCUCCAGGAAGACGUCACCAUUCCAGGGAAGAGACUUGUGGCCUCCUUGUUCCAGAUGUUGGGGUACCAAUGUUUAAAAUGGACCCAAAAAGCUUCCAAGGCAGGGUAAGAAGAAGCUGCAAGUUCCAGCUAAUGAAAUGACAACGGUUCCAGUCUGUAGGUCAAAUUCUGUAGGAGUCCUGACUGAGGGGAAGUGCAGGGGAAGAGCUGCAUUAGACUGUUUUCUUUGUAGCUAUUCCUGGUUUGUUGCUUUCUUUUGAGAAGUAAUUUUGCAAAAUUAGGACUUGGGCAUGGUACCUGUUUGACAGCUUCCCAUCUGCUGGCCCAAUUUAUAUCCACUGAAACUGCUACAAAAUUAAGUUUUUAUUGCCAGUCACAUUGCAGUUUAUAUAGCUGUGGAAAAAUGGGCUGAACUCAGGUCCUCCUUACACUUUAUCAACCAAAAAGUGUGUGCUGACACCAAUCCUUUACUGCUGCCAUCCAGGGCAACAGGCAAUUGACUGCCCUUCAGAUACACUGCCCAACACAGGUGGAUUAUUUGCUCUCUUCAAGGUCAAAGAAAGUGUAGAGCUGGCCAGGGGAAAAUGUGUCUAUGACAGGUAUUUUACAGUUCUUAUUCUAGAUUAUAUUUAGCUUCAGAUCUUGUGCUGGCCUAAACCACAAACUACAGUUACAUUUAGAGGAAGUCUACAUUUGUGGAUUGCAAGAAGAAUGAAAAGUAAAAGCAAAAACAGCAGAGCAGCAACAGGAGGUAAGAGAAAUGUAUGAUAUUGAAGGUGAGACUCUUAAAUGGCUCUCUAGACACACUAUUGUUAAGGAAGCUUCCCUGUCUGAGCAUCCAGGAGCAGUCUGUCACUCUUGCACCACCUGAGCUGGACCAAAGCCCCUUCACAGCUGCACCCCACACUCACACUGAGCUCCGACUCAGGUUUUCCAUGGCAGAGUCUCAGACAUUCAAAUUCUCAAAAUAAUUUAAUCUUGGUACAAUGACUCAAAUAACUAAAUAACUCCAGCUGGUUCCUUCAAGGAGGCAGCACCCCAGAAAAGGAACCCCUUGGCUUUUAUCCCCUCACAGUCUGAGCACAAAACUCUGGGGUCCUCUGCUCCUGCUGCAUCUCUGAGUGCCCGGUCCCCUGGCAGGGCCACAGGUCCCCAGGCCCCUCAUGACACAGAGGGUCAGCAGGUCACAGCCCCUGGCCCCAGGCUCCCCCAGAGCUCAAUCUGCAGCUCCCCUUGAACUACCUGCACUGAAAGGAUUCCCUAACACCCAUUCCCCUCCCACAGCCCCAGUCUUUCCUCCACACAGAGGAAACACUUCUUUCCCUAAAAACAAGACAAAAUGAGGAAGCCAGGAGGGCAGAAAAUUAGUAAUUUCAGUGUCAGGCAGGACUGUAACAUUUGGCAUCUGUCACGCUGUGCACAGAGGCAGUGGAACACAAACCUAAGAGCUCUGGCAGCAGAGACUCAGAGUAGGUCUCUGCACUAAGGGAACAGUAGGUUUGGUUGUAACACAGGGCCAUGUCCUGACAGCCUCAGCUCCACGUCCACUCUUGUCACAGGUGAGACAGCCUCAA